RNAcentral lists this long non-coding RNA (3849 nucleotides) under Stegodyphus dumicola. Its description in RNAcentral is "uncharacterized LOC118193886, transcript variant X1". The record is from RNAcentral. Lineage: Eukaryota; Metazoa; Arthropoda; Arachnida; Araneae; Eresidae.
AUUGCAUAUAGGGUGGUCUUAAAGAACCUUGAUGAAUUAAUGGCUAUCUUUAGAGCGCAGCAAGCCAGGAAACUAGAGCAACACUGGCAAGAUUAGUACAGGCAGACAUGUAGUCAUGAUACACAAGAAUAGGGGCAGAACAUGUUAACAUUACAUUUAACGUAAUCGCAUUGCGCAUACAAAGGUGCGUCAGAAGUUUCUGAAUUACCUGUAUUGAAAGAAAAGAAUCUUAUUUCUAAGUUUGUACAUCAUCUUCUUCGAAACACUCCCUUUGAGUAGCAAUGCGUGGUUCAUCCCAUCUCGGAAUGAGGUUUCAAAAAUAUUUUGCGUAAACGGGUUCAUAUGCUUUUGCAUUAUCACUGUAUAUCUUCAGCCCUGGUCAUCCCGGAAGCACAGCUUAAAUUGAGCGAGAGCCCGGGUUCAUACGCUUUUGCAUUUAACGCUGUAUAUCUUCACCCCUAGUUAUCCCGGAAGCACAGCUUAAAUUGAGCCGGAGCCCGUCAAUUUUAGAGAAAUUGUAAUUCCAGCCAGAGUCCUGAAUGAAAUAGCUUCGGUUCUUCAAGUUUAAAAUGAAAUGUUGUAUUAAGUCAUUAUGUUAAGAAAAGUGCAUUUUAAUAAGCUUGUCUUGAACUAAGAAGUUAAAAUCCUUAAAUAAUAUAUCUCAUGAACGAAGGAUUUAUAAAGCGUGUUUCUCUCUAUAUUUAAAUAAUAUUAAAAGUGUAGAUUUUAGGGAAAGGUUGUAAGAUCUAUCUCUACUUUUCCACAUCCACUGACUUAGAUCCUACAAUGAACCUGGCGAAUUCUCACACAGGCGUCAAAUAAAUACCAGAACAGAAGAAGGCUGCAAAAUAACCUUUAUUAAAUCAAACUAAAAUAACGACAGCACGGGCUUCGUGCGUUACAAAAACACCGUUCACUUGCGGCGAUAACUUAAACAUAGACGAGAAUACAAAAUCAAAUCUGAAAAAUAAAUGUAUUUACACUCAUGUCCUUAAGGAUAAUGCAAAAUCAGGCAAAGGAAGAGUUAGAAGCAAAAAACAAUGCUACAAUUCCAAAUCGCGGUACUCUACUAUUUCUUCCUGACUGUGGUUCAAUUCUUCACGCAAAGAAAAUUUUGAAUCCAUAUACCUAAUUAAAGCUUAUCAACAAAUUCAAGUACGAAGCCGACAUUCUGAAAACGGCUAUUACAGGAAUGCCAAUGAUAUAAAGUUCAAAGGCAUACGCAGUCAGCUCUAAUGGAUUUAAAGUUCCACCGGAGAGUUUUGACCAUGUCCACAUUGAUACUGUUCGCCCGUUACCUACACGUAAAGGUUUCAGGGAUUUGUUAAUAAUGACUGAUCGUUUUUCAAGAUGGGUUGAAGCACUUCAUAUAACAAAUCAAUCGGCAGAUGCAUUUGCAAAGGGCAUGAUUUCAAGCUGGCUAUGUAAUUUUGGGACGCCUCAUCGUAUACUUUUGAACAAAGACGACAGUUUGAAAGAUCAUCUUUUCUUAUCUUUGAGCAAAUAUUUUGACUUUCAGACCACUAGGACUACUGCGUACAAUCCACAAUCGAAUGGAUUAAUUGAGCAGACAGCACAGAACUAUGAAUGUUUGAAAUGCAUUUUCAGCGAAACAAGUAUUGGAUAGACCCUUUACCAUUUGUUCUUCUUGGAUUACGCACUGCUAUGGAAGAAGAUAUAGAAUACUAGCUGAGUUUCUUUACGGAAGUCUUCUCUGUUUACUUGGAGAGUUUAUUAUCAAGAUUCCUAAUAUCACGCAAUCAGAUUUUGUUCAGAGGUUAUAAACUGUUAUACGAGGCAUGAAAUCUUCUGCGAUGACUACUCAUACCAAUAAAGCCGUCUUUGUUUCAAAGCAACUUUCGAAUUGCUCGCAUAUUUUUGUAUGGAAACUCCUAUGUCGAAGGAUGAUGUAUGCUCACCGCCCCAGUGCCAACCUCAGAAGGAAAUCUCGCCUACGAACGAUCUCUACGCUAUUACACACAGUGAAAGAACUGUCAGGUUUUCGCCUGUUUUAAAAGAUUAUAUCUUCUAAUCGUUUUCACUGAGAGGGGGAAUGCAUAGCGCCUCCCAUAUUAUUUCUAAAAACUAUUAAUCUUUUGUGAAGGGGUAACUCCAUUAUUUUUCAGAUUUUAAAAAUAAUAAAAGUGAAAUUGUUCUUUUUCUCCCCUUUAUCGAAUUGAAAAUAAAUAAAAAAGUAUUUCUAAAUACUGUGACAUAAUCAGCAUUCACUGCAUGUUCUCCUUUUUUGCUUUUCAUGUAGAGCAAACUUUAAAAUAAAAAUCUGAGGUACUUGUGUGUUUCAGCAGCCCCCGAGAUUGAAUCGCCAAUCAACCGAGAUAUCUCGCCAAGAUCUGGCUACAUGUUCUUAUACCUCGCCACGUAAUCGUAUGUUAACACCGUGUUGCACUUGAGCUGUCGCUGUGUGUUCUUAUAUUAUUCAUUUUUGAUGAGGUUUACGAAUUCGCAUUUUGCUUAUUUAAAAAAAUAAACUCAUUGCUUCUUCUUCUUCUUUUUCUUUUUCUUUUUUUUUUUUUUUGGUUUGUGAACAUGAUGUUAAAAAUCUUUAAUUUACCAAAUAAUGAGGUGAUGCCAUACCAUUUUUUCAAGAAAGAGUUUUUUUUCCUGAAAAACGAGUAUACGAAAACGGCCACAACAUGCAACUUUAUGUUAAAGACGAAACCAUUUUGAGGUGCAAUGUUAAAAAAAGCGAGAGAAGAAGGGCCUUCGUACUGGAAACUGGUUCAGCGGUUCCGUAAGACCGUUCGUCACUGCUAUUAGAUUUAUGUGUUUUUGGACAGAGGAGCUGGUAUAACGAACAACUUAAUAUGUGUGAAAGUGCUGCCGUUGAUUGGAACAAUUAUAUAUGCGAAAAAAAGAAGAAAGAUAAGGAUAAGGAUUCUUAAAAAUAUUCUUAGAAUAUAUACGUUAUUAAUAUACGACAUGACACUGAAGAAAAUAACAGCAGGCAAGCUUCGGCAAAUUCAUGGAAAACAGUAUUCUGUGACAACAUCGACUGAAACAUUCUGAUUUCAUGAAUUCAAGCAGCUUAAUUCAGGACAUUGUUCAACGGAUCUGGAACAAUGAACUGGAACACAAGCAGGUGCAGAUUGUUCGUGAAUUACAAACUGCCAAUCAAAGAUGAGACACUAUGCCUUUAAUACCAACUUCUGAAGCUAACGCUUUUGAGGACGAAAUGGAUUUUUUCUAUGAAUGUUCUACAUUUUAUCUUUCUAUCCUGAGUAAAAUAUCAUCUUUUAUUAGUUUAGUUAGUUGUGGUUUAGCGGCCGAGUUAUUCAAAAAGCUGAACAUUUACUUUACGCACAACGUUUUUACCGAAUGGAUUAGGCGCAUGGCCAUUUUUAUGGUUUCCUACAUGAACCAGUUUCUCUUAAAAAGCUCUUCACAAAGGCAACUUUCUUUUGAAAUGUAGCCCUAACGUGUCUUGUUUUAUUUCAAUCAACCAAUCAGUUAUCUCUAACGAUUUAUAACGAUUUGUAACGAUUUAUUGUUAAAAAAUUGGGAUUACUGUCUGGCACUUUUGAAAUAAAAAAUUGCAUUCUUUUAGUUCGAAUUUUGAAUCUUAACGACAGAUACUGCCUGAAUAAAACCAAGAGCCAAAAUUUCAUUUAAAAUUCUUUUCAUAAGCCACAUUUGUUUAAAAAAAUAAACUGGGAUGUGUAGUAAUUAUAGAGUGAUACUUCUUUCACAAUUUGAAGCAAACUCCAUUGAUGGAACACAGCAAUAAUUUUUAUUUAACACUCAAAAUAGCGACAUAAAAACAAGAGGAGAAAACGCAUUCCAACAUUUUAAAAAUAAAAUAAAUACAUUUUUCGUUCGAGAGCCACACGU